AGUGGGAUAGCUGGGUCAAAUGGUGGUUCUAGUCGCAGUUUUUCAAGGAGUGUUCAUACUGCUUUCCAGAUUGGCUGCACCAAUUUGCAGUCCCACCAGCAAU
This 103-nucleotide microRNA precursor is filed under the name Marmota monax (woodchuck). The record is from RNAcentral. Lineage: Eukaryota; Metazoa; Chordata; Mammalia; Rodentia; Sciuridae.